UACAGAGGGGGCAAGCGUUGUUCGGAAUUACUGGGCGUAAAGGGCGCGUAGGCGGCCCGCUAAGUCGAACGUGAAAUCCCCGAGCUCAACUCGGGAACUGCGUCCGAUACUGGCGGGCUUGAAUCCGGGAGAGGGAUGCGGAAUUCCAGGUGUAGCGGUGAAAUGCGUAGAUAUCUGGAGGAACACCGGUGGCGAAGGCGGAUCUCUGGGCCUUACCUGACGCUGAGGCGCGAAAGCUAGGGGAGCGAACAGG
Molecule: ribosomal RNA, 253 nt
Filed under: uncultured bacterium
Lineage: Bacteria
Description: partial 16S ribosomal RNA
Rfam family: Bacterial small subunit ribosomal RNA
Source: RNAcentral